Molecule: long non-coding RNA, 291 nt
Filed under: Trifolium pratense (red clover)
Lineage: Eukaryota; Viridiplantae; Streptophyta; Magnoliopsida; Fabales; Fabaceae
Description: long non-coding RNA (TPRA_LNC013904)
Source: RNAcentral
AACCAAGUGAAUAAACUUAAAUCUAAACUAAAUCCCUUUAUUAUAGGGCUAAGAAUAAACAAACCAAAUCAUAGAGAUAUUUUCUCAACAAAUAAUAUAAUAUUUUCUAUAUUCUAACAAUAUGUAUAGGGGAAACAAUUGUAUCUGUGUUUUGUAUGAUGUGAGCUUUUAUGUUGUAACUCUUUUGGUUUGUAGAAAACCUUCUCACUUUCUCUUUUGGUUUUGUAUGAUGUGAGCUUUUAUGUUGUAAUCUCUAAUAUUUAUGUAAUUAAGCUUAAGUUACAAAAAAAA